UUCGGUCUUUCUGUUGCUGCGUAGGGGUUGGUAGCUGUACUUGAACAUGUUUCGAAUUUUUAACGGUUCUAAUGGUUGGUUGCUUUAUUGCUAUAUAUAUAUAUAUAUAUAUAUAUAUAUAUAGCAAUAAAUAAAUCUUAAUUAACACUUUAUUAUACGUCUUUGGGCUUUUACACGGGAAGUCCAAGCUGGAUUAGUUUGUCUUUUAUGGAUGAUUGUGGAUCCACCACGUGGUUCCAGACGCUGCAAAGCUACGGAAUGAACAUGAUCUAGUGCUAAUGGCGCUAGCCAUCCUACGCCGCCAUGAUGGCUAGCUAAUAAGAAGUCCUUUAUGACCACGGCUCUUCACUCUAAACAUCACGGAGCGCAAUGUCAAACAUCCUGGUGCUUCAAUCCAUCGCAGAACCCCUGGUAUCAGCAAGGCAAG
Molecule: long non-coding RNA, 427 nt
Organism: Ictalurus punctatus (channel catfish)
Lineage: Eukaryota; Metazoa; Chordata; Actinopteri; Siluriformes; Ictaluridae
Exons: 3
Source: RefSeq, a predicted model, not a curated record